This 440-nucleotide ribosomal RNA is filed under the name uncultured bacterium. Its description in RNAcentral is "partial 16S ribosomal RNA". It matches the Rfam family "Bacterial small subunit ribosomal RNA", at positions 338 to 795 of the family's 1533-position model. The record is from RNAcentral.
CCUACGGGAGGCAGCAGUGGGGAAUAUUGCACAAUGGGGGAAACCCUGAUGCAGCGACGCCGCGUGAGUGAAGAAGUAAUUCGUUAUGUAAAGCUCUAUCAGUAGGGAAGAAAAUGACGGUACCUGAGUAAGAAGUUCUGGCUAACUACGUGCCAGCAGUAGUGGUAAUACGGAGGGGGCAAGCGUUAUCCGGAUUUACUGGGUGUAAAGGGAGCGUAGACGGGAGUGCAAGUCUGGAGUGAAAGGGGGGGGCUCAACCUCAGGAGUGUACUGGAAACUGUCAGGUUGGAGUGCAGGAGAGGUAGGUGGAAUUCGUGGUGUAGCGGUGAAAUGCGUAGAUAUUACGAAGAACACCGAUGGCGAAGGCAGCUUACUAAACUGUGACUGACAUUGAGGCUCGAAAGCGUGGGGAGCAAACAGGAUUAGAUACCCUUGUAGUC